CAGAAGAGGAUAAGUUCUUAAUCACAGGGAAUUCCAUUGGAGAACAAGUUGUGUACCUGGUCCAUAUUCAAGCCUUAUGGAAUGGAUUACUGCACAAGACAAUCCAGAGAAUUCUGGGAAAGUCUAAAUCAGAUUUAAAUCAAUAAUUCUACACUGUUGGAUCACAAAUCAAUCAAGGGCUAGGAGGAUAGCUAGGGUUUCGCCAAGACACUAUAUAAAGGAGCAGAGAGAAACGUUUCUUCAUCUCUUCUUCGCACAGUAAUCGGCAUUUUCGCACGAUCUUACGAGAUUGCGAACAUAUCAACGUUCUCGGAAUCUGCCGAAACCAAAUUCUUGGCUCCUUUUGGGACCUCCAUACACCCACAACAUUGAUCUUUCAACUUUUUUUGAGAAAAUUUGACGUGUUAUUUUUUCGCACGAUCUUAGAGAUUGCGAACAUAUCAACGUUCUCGGAAUCUGCCGAUACCAAAUUCUUGGCUCUUUUUGGGACCUCCAUACACCCACAACAUUGAUCUUUCAACUUUUUUUGAGAAAAUUUGAGGUGUUAUUUUGGCAUUUUCGCACGAUCUUACGAGAUUGCGAACAUAUCAACGUUCUCGGAAUCUGCCGAAACCAAAUUCUUGGCUCUUUGUGGGACCUCCAUACACCCACAACAUUGAUCUUUCAACUUUUUUUGAGAAAAUUUGAGGUGUUAUUUUGGCAUUUUCGCACGAUCUUACGAGAUUGCGAACAUAUCAACGUUCUCGGAAUCUGCCGAAACCAAAUUCUUGGCUCUUUUUGGGACCUCCAUACACCCACAACAUUGAUCUUUCAACUUUUUUUGAGAAAAUUUGACGUGUUAUUUUGGCAUUUUCGCACGAUCUUACGAGAUUACGAUCAUAUCAACGUUCUCGGAAUCUGCCGAAACCAAAUUCUUGGCUCUUUUUGGGACCUCCAUACACCCACAACAAUGAUCUUUCAACUUUUUUUGAGAAAAUUAGACGUGUUAUUUUUUCGCACGAUCUUACGAGAUUGCGAACAUAUCAACGUUCUCGGAAUCUGCCGAAACCAAAUUCUUGGCUCUUUUUGGGUACCUCCAUACACCCACAACAUUGAUCUUUCAACUUUUUUUGUAGAAAAUUU
RNAcentral lists this long non-coding RNA (1122 nucleotides) under Fragaria vesca (wild strawberry). RNAcentral's name for it is "long non-coding RNA (FVES_LNC005346)". The record is from RNAcentral. Lineage: Eukaryota; Viridiplantae; Streptophyta; Magnoliopsida; Rosales; Rosaceae.